GAUGAACGCUGGCGGCGUGCCUAAUACAUGCAAGUCGAGCGAACGGACGAGAAGCUUGCUUCUCUGAUGUUAGCGGCGGACGGGUGAGUAACACGUGGAUAACCUACCUAUAAGACUGGGAUAACUUCGGGAAACCGGAGCUAAUACCGGAUAAUAUUUUGAACCGCAUGGUUCAAAAGUGAAAGACGGUCUUGCUGUUACUUAUAGAUGGAUCCGCGCUGCAUUAGCUAGUUGGUAAGGUAACGGCUUACCAAGGCAACGAUGCAUAGCCGACCUGAGAGGGUGAUCGGCCACACUGGAACUGAGACACGGUCCAGACUCCUACGGGAGGCAGCAGUAGGGAAUCGUCCGCAAUGGGCGAAAGCCUGACGGAGCAACGCCGCGUGAGUGAUGAAGGUCUUCGGAUCGUAAAACUCUGUUAUUAGGGAAGAACAUAUGUGUAAGUAACUGUGCACAUCUUGACGGUACCUAAUCAGAAAGCCACGGCUAACUACGUG
RNAcentral lists this ribosomal RNA (497 nucleotides) under uncultured bacterium. Its description in RNAcentral is "partial 16S ribosomal RNA". It matches the Rfam family "Bacterial small subunit ribosomal RNA", at positions 28 to 507 of the family's 1533-position model. The record is from RNAcentral.